Molecule: ribosomal RNA, 301 nt
Filed under: uncultured bacterium
Lineage: Bacteria
Description: partial 16S ribosomal RNA
Rfam family: Bacterial small subunit ribosomal RNA
Source: RNAcentral
CAGUCGCCGCGGUAAGACGAACCGUGCGAACGUUAUUCGGAAUUACUGGGCUUAAAGCGCGUGUAGGCGGGUCGGCACGUCGGUCGCUGAAAUCCCCCGGCUCAACCGGGGAAGUGGCGCCGAUAUGGCCGGCCUGGAGGGGGGUAGGGGGGCCUGGAACUUCCGGUGGAGCGGUGAAAUGCGUUGAGAUCGGAAGGAACGCCCGUGGCGAAAGCGAGGCCCUGGACCCUUUCUGACGCUGAGACGCGAAAGCCAGGGGAGCGAACGGGAUUAGAUACCCCCGUAGUCCCUGUCUCUUAUA